This 203-nucleotide long non-coding RNA is filed under the name Lathyrus oleraceus (garden pea). RNAcentral's name for it is "Pisum sativum (pea) long non-coding RNA (PSAT_LNC014501)". The record is from RNAcentral. Lineage: Eukaryota; Viridiplantae; Streptophyta; Magnoliopsida; Fabales; Fabaceae.
UAAAAUAUGGGCAACAAACACAAGUUAGAGAUCUUGAUUAGUGAAUCAAGCUUCUACAACUUGCCAUGCCAAAAAAAGAUGAGAAAUGAUCUUGUAUUGAUUUAGGUUUUUUGCUUGAUUAGAAAACAACCUAUCCUUAAUGCAAAGCCAUUCACUUGAUCUAUGAUCAAGAUGAAUUAGAUUUGAAUCAAGAAAGGUUAAAC